This 3815-nucleotide long non-coding RNA is filed under the name Olea europaea subsp. europaea. Lineage: Eukaryota; Viridiplantae; Streptophyta; Magnoliopsida; Lamiales; Oleaceae. The record is from RNAcentral.
UAUAAUUGAUAAUUUUUUUGAUUAAUUUGUAUCCUGUUAAUCAUAAAUAGUCUUAUGCUUUUAUUAAAGGUUAUUUAAGCAAGAUUGAUAAUUUUUUGCAUUUAUUUCCAUAGGAGAAUCUGUUGACAUUGAAAAAAAAAAGAUUUAUUGUAUGCUAUUUGUUAGAAGUAUUCUUGCAACAAUUCACACGUAUUGCCAAGACCAUGCGUAGUGUUUGACAAAUUCUGUACCAUUUCCAUCGAUAAAUCAUCGUAACCUAUAUUAUGUAAUAAAUCUGAACAAUGAUUUCGUUGGAAGUAGACAGGUUAAAUGUGAGAAAUGGUUGCAAGGUAAUCUUAUUUUUUGUUUCUCAUACUUGAUGAGAAAAACAAAGAUUUGCCAAAUUGGAUUGAAGUUUCUUUAACUUUUCUGUGUAGGGAGCUAUAAUAUUUUUCCCUAAAUAAUUAGCUGAUUGUAGUCUUGAAAAGCAAUGACUUCCAUGUUUACUCGGGCCAUGGAGACGGUAAGCAACUAGCUUAUGUGUUUGAUUGUGUUUAAAAGUUAAUACUUGUAAAUGUGAGUGAGAGAAAAACAAGAUUUGUUAAUAAAAAAAAAAAUUUGAAAAUCAAGUUUCACGAAUAAGUAACUUAAGUAAAGCAUAGCCCAAGCAUGUAUUCAUUUUUAUUUUUUUUUGUUUUAUAUUUUCAAAGAAUCGUUAAACCCUAUUUCAUUUUUUACCAUGCGAUUUCAGGGUUGAAUAUUGACCUUGAGAAAAGUAUUCAAGAACUCAAUGUUGUGCUGUUGCAGCAGUACUAUUGAUAUGGGAAAGUGGUAAAAUAAAACUAAAUAGGCUUUAUGCCCUGGAAGAUGCUCCUAUUUUGUAUUUAUCGUUGAGUUCCCCUCACAUAGUGGCUAAUCUAUGGAGUGUAAGCAAUGAUGUUGAUAAAUUUGGUAUGGUCUUAUGUGCGAGUUGAUUUUAAGGGAUAGCAAAUGAUUCUACCAAAUGAGGGCUAAACAUGUAUAUACAACCAUCUAACUGGUCUCCAAUCAUAUUUGACUAAUGACUAGAUAUAGAUCAAACUUUAAUGAUCAAUAUUUACAUCACAAUUCGAAAACAUGCUCAUAUAUUUAUCAUUUCUUUUUUGAAAACAUUCCAAUUUUAUCAUUUAAUAAACAAGCUAAAUUCAUUAACAACAAAAAUAUUAAUCCAAAUAAUGAAAAUUUGUUCAAUCACUAGAGAGUGAUAGUUACCUAUUUGACAUAAGUCUACGGACUAAUGGGCAAGUUAAGAUCUCCAACAGGGAGUUAAAGAAAAUCCCAUAAGCUAUAGUUAAUAUGUCACGCACAAAUUGGUUAAAGAAAUUAGAUGAUGCGCUUUGAGCCUACCGAACCGCAUUUAAAACUCCUAUUGGGAUGUCUCCUUAUUGAUUGGAGUUCGAAAAGGUAUGUCACUGGUAAGUUGAAAUUGAGUAUAAUGCAUAUUGGAUAACUCACAUGAUAAACCUGGAUAUAAAGGUGGUCGGGAAAAAGAUCCUUCAAACGAGUUUGAUGAAUUUAGGUUUGGGGCUUUACGAGAAUACAAAAUUGUAUAUGGAAAAAUCUAAAAGAUAGCACAUUAAAGAAAAAGGGUUCGAGGUUAGUCAACGAGUUUUGAUGCUCAAUUCUCGCCUCAAAUUCUUUCUUGGCAAGCUAAGAUCAAGAUAGUUGGAUCCAUUCACGAAUGGAGAUGUACAUCCGUGUGGCACAUUUGAGGUUAUAUCUCAAGAUCACCAACAAAGGUUCAAUAUCAAUGGGCAAAGGUUGAAAACUUAUUGGGGAGGUGAUUACUCCAAUGAGAACACAAUUCUAUCACUUGAGGAUUCAAAAUAAACUUAAAUGAAAAGUGAGCUAUAAACUACUAAAAAAAAGGCUUGUUGGAAGGCUUCUUCACUUUUAUUUAUUCAAUUUUUAUACAUUAUUUUAAGAUUUUUCAUGUUUUGUGUUUUUGUUAUUGAAUUAGGUAUCUUCAUCCACAACUUAGGUUUUUAGGAUCAUUCUUGCAUUCAUAUACACUUAAUAUGUGUUUUGCAUGAAUUUGGAGCAUUUAAAACAUGUACAAGUGAUUUGAGUGAAAAAAGUGUUUUAGGGGGUCAAAUACGAGAAUUUGGAGAAAAUUACACCAAAAGGUAACUUUUAAAAGAAUGGUUGAGUUUGAAAUAAUUUUCAUGUUUUUCCAUCACUUUUUAGGCCUUUAGGACAUAAUUUAGUCGAAAAUCAACGUUUGGAGACAAUCGAGGGGUCUGAAUAGUCAAAUUCCAGCAAAGGAGAAAUGUCCUCUUUGCUAAUAACCGACGCGUGACCUUGCGCAUGCAAGGCCACCAUAUAAUUAACAAGGGCUUAUAUGACUAAGGUGCGGCUGACCCGUGGGGUGGGUUUUAAAACCCACAUCGAUACACAUUACAUGCACACUGAAAAACAUUACCGAUACCCCCUCUCAAUUUAUCUUCAAAUUCUAGACAAUCUCUAAUCAAUUUUUUUCCAAAUUUCACGUCGGCGUUGAAGAUUUGACGAACUAGAGCAUCAUUCAGCAACUAUUUCACACUAACAUUCCCCAAAUUUCAAGAAGUCAAAAGUACUUGUUAUACUUUGAAGAAUUUCAUGGUUUUGCUAGCUUUUUACAUAUCUUGCUAUUUGUUGGAGUUUUUGUGGUUCUUGAUAGAGAACAGGAUUAGGUCAAUGUUGGGUUUGCCAUAUGUGUUGUAAAGUCAUGGAUUAGACUUGUUUAGGUUCCAAGUUUACUUUAGACUCAUUGGUUUGCACAUUAAGUGUUUGACAAAAGGCCUAAAUGUAGUUUUUGUUCAUGCUUGUGGCUCUAUUUAUAUUCCCUACCUACGAACCCUCGUCUUUCUUGUCAAUCGACGUUCAUAUUAUUUUAUUAUGGUUGGCAUAUCUUAUACAAGUAACUAAUGUUCAUUUUUUUACACUGUUUGAUAAGGAUGCCUUCAAAGAGAAAUAAUAUUUCUUCCACAUCAUAGGGCAAAAAAUGGUCACGAAAUCUUCCGGCAUGGCUCGCACUCGACUUGAUGAUGAGAUAUGUGGCAGUUUCCAACCCUUGAGCACAAGGCUAGAUUUGAUAAUGUGGUCAAGAUGGAAACUUUGUCCAGGACGACAGGUAGUGGUGGAAGACUUUCUAGGGUUUGAGAUGACCCAAUUGAUUCGUUUAGCAAGAUGGGAACAAGUAGCAGGCGAGCCUUACAAGGUUUAUCUUAUCUUGGUGUAAGAGUUCUACACCAACUUUAAUGCAGAGUUAGACAUUCUGGGACCGAACAUAUGCACCAGCCAUGGAUUCGAGACAAAUGGAUAAUGUUCUGGCCAGAAGUGAUCGAUACUUACUACGGACUACCUAGGGACAAUAUUGUUCCUGUACCAAUGGAUCUAGACAUGUUAUUUGUUACACAGAUGCUAUAUGGGAGAGACGACACAUGGCCGCUUCUAGAAAACGAAUUUGAAUAUCGACAUCUGACAGACUCCCUUGUGAUCCUAUAUAACUUCAUCAGUCACAAUAUCGAUACAAACUCACACUGCACCACCAUUAGUCAUCUGAAGGCCAAUCUACUGUAUCAUCUCGCAUGAGGUUUUAAGAUUCAUUGGGAUCUAUGGUUAUUCCGAGUGCUUUUUUGGUGUGAUUUUUCAGUAUUAUACAACUUAUCUGUUUUCAGAUUACAGAAUUUAGUUUAUUUAAUUUACAAAAUAAAUAUUUCAGCUUAUAGUACUGUGAAAUGAUAUUUUUACUCAUAGUAUGAUGUCAGAUUUAUUAUAUAUCUGUUAUACCUUACAGUGAUUUAUUUAGAAUAAAG